AGUGAACGCUGGCGGUAGGCCCAACACAUGCAAGUCGAGCGGCAGCACAGUAAGAGCUUGCUCUUACGGGUGGCGAGUGGCGGACGGGUGAGGAAUACAUCGGAAUCUACUUUUUCGUGGGGGAUAACGUAGGGAAACUUACGCUAAUACCGCAUACGACCUACGGGUGAAAGCAGGGGAUCUUCGGACCUUGCGCGAUUGAAUGAGCCGAUGUCGGAUUAGCUAGUUGGCGGGGUAAAGGCCCACCAAGGCGACGAUCCGUAGCUGGUCUGAGAGGAUGAUCAGCCACACUGGAACUGAGACACGGUCCAGACUCCUACGGGAGGCAGCAGUGGGGAAUAUUGGACAAUGGGCGCAAGCCUGAUCCAGCCAUACCGCGUGGGUGAAGAAGGCCUUCGGGUUGUAAAGCCCUUUUGUUGGGAAAGAAAAGCAGCAGGUUAAUACCCCGCUGUUCUGACGGUACCCAAAGAAUAAGCACCGGCUAACUUCGUG
RNAcentral lists this ribosomal RNA (492 nucleotides) under uncultured bacterium. RNAcentral describes it as "partial 16S ribosomal RNA". It matches the Rfam family "Bacterial small subunit ribosomal RNA", at positions 29 to 507 of the family's 1533-position model. The record is from RNAcentral.